UCUUAAAUGAAGACCUGUAUGAAUGGCUCGACGAAGGCUGAACUGUCUCCUUUUUCAAGUCAAUGAAAUUGAUCUCCCCGUGCAAAAGCGGGGAUGCGCCCAUAAGACGAGAAGACCCUAUGGAGCUUUAGAUGUUAAAACAAGCAUUAUUGCUACCCCCAAAUAAAGGGGUACCACUAGCCCCUGUCCAGACAUCUUCGGUUGGGGUGACCAUGGGGAACAAGAAACCCCCACGUCUCUGUAUUGGAGUCUCCUGAAACUAACAAACUCCCUCAAACAAGAACCACCACUCUAGUUAACAGAAUUUCUGACCACCGAUCCGGCAACGCCGAUUAACGAACCAAGUUACCCUAGGGAUAACAGCGCAAUCCCCUUUCAGAGCCCAUAUCGAAAAGGGGGCUUACGACCUCGAUGUUGGAUCAGGACAU
RNAcentral lists this ribosomal RNA (428 nucleotides) under Centropomus poeyi. RNAcentral's name for it is "partial 16S ribosomal RNA". It matches the Rfam family "Bacterial large subunit ribosomal RNA", at positions 1972 to 2545 of the family's 2925-position model. Lineage: Eukaryota; Metazoa; Chordata; Actinopteri; Centropomidae. The record is from RNAcentral.